GAUGAACGCUGGCGGCGUGCUUAACACAUGCAAGUCGAACGGGAAACCUUUUAUUGAAGCUUCGGCAGAUUUAGCUGGCUUCUAGUGGCGGACGGGGGAGUAACGCGUGGGUAACCUGCCUUAUACAGGGGGAUAACAACCAGAAAUGGUUGCUAAUACCGCAUAAGCGCACAGGACCGCAUGGUCCGGUGUGAAAAACUCCGGUGGUAUAAGAUGGACCCGGGUUGGAUUAGCUAGUUGGCAGGGUAACGGCCUACCAAGGCGACGAUCCAUAGCCGGCCUGAGAGGGUGAACGGUCACAUUGGGACUGAGACACGGCCCAGAAGCGUAGGGGAGGCAGCAGUGGGGAAUAGUGCACAAUGGGGGAAACCCUGAUGCAGCGGCGCCGCGUGAAGGAAGAAGUAUCUCGGUAUGUAAUCUUCUAUCAGCAGGGAAGAUAGUGACGGUAGCUGACAAAGAAGCGCCGGCUAACUACGUG
This 478-nucleotide ribosomal RNA is filed under the name uncultured bacterium. Its description in RNAcentral is "partial 16S ribosomal RNA". It matches the Rfam family "Bacterial small subunit ribosomal RNA", at positions 28 to 507 of the family's 1533-position model. The record is from RNAcentral.